UACGGAGGGUGCAAGCGUUAAUCGGAAUUACUGGGCGUAAAGCGCACGUAGGCGGCUAUUUAAGUCAGAUGUGAAAGCCCUGGGCUUAACCUGGGAACUGCAUUUGAAACUGGAUGGCUAGAGUACAGCAGAGGACGGUGGAAUUUCAGGUGUAGCGGUGAAAUGCGUAGAGAUCUGAAGGAACAUCAGUGGCGAAGGCGACCGUCUGGGCUGAUACUGACGCUGAGGUGCGAAAGCGUGGGGAGCAAACAGG
RNAcentral lists this ribosomal RNA (253 nucleotides) under uncultured bacterium. Its description in RNAcentral is "partial 16S ribosomal RNA". It matches the Rfam family "Bacterial small subunit ribosomal RNA", at positions 524 to 776 of the family's 1533-position model. The record is from RNAcentral.